RNAcentral lists this small RNA (125 nucleotides) under Marmota monax (woodchuck). Lineage: Eukaryota; Metazoa; Chordata; Mammalia; Rodentia; Sciuridae. The record is from RNAcentral.
GCUGGGCAUGGUGGUGCACGCCUGUAAUCUCAGCAGCUUGGGAGGCUGAGGCAGGAGGAUUGCAAGUUCAAAGCCAGCCUCAGCAACAGCAAGGUGCUUAGCAACUCACUGAGACCCUGUCUCUA